CAUAUGAUCACCAGAGUUAAGCAAUGUCGAGCCUGGUCAGUACCUAGAUGGGUGACCACCUGGGAAUACUAGAUGCUGUAAG
Molecule: non-coding RNA, 82 nt
Organism: Acanthosepion pharaonis
Lineage: Eukaryota; Metazoa; Mollusca; Cephalopoda; Sepiida; Sepiidae
Source: the annotation of a GenBank genome assembly